This 540-nucleotide ribosomal RNA is filed under the name uncultured bacterium. RNAcentral's name for it is "bacterial SSU rRNA". It matches the Rfam family "Bacterial small subunit ribosomal RNA", at positions 355 to 896 of the family's 1533-position model. The record is from RNAcentral.
UGAGGAAUAUUGGUCAAUGGGCGAGAGCCUGAACCAGCCAAGUAGCGUGCAGGAUGACGGCCCUAUGGGUUGUAAACUGCUUUUAUGUGGGGAUAAAGUGAGCUACGUGUAGUUUAUUGCAGGUACCACAUGAAUAAGGACCGGCUAAUUCCGUGCCAGCAGCCGCGGUAAUACGGAAGGUCCAGGCGUUAUCCGGAUUUAUUGGGUUUAAAGGGAGCGUAGGCCGUGGAUUAAGCGUGUUGUGAAAUGUAGACGCUCAACGUCUGAAUUGCAGCGCGAACUGGUUCACUUGAGUAUGCACAACGUAGGCGGAAUUCGUCGUGUAGCGGUGAAAUGCUUAGAUAUGACGAAGAACUCCGAUUGCGAAGGCAGCUGACGGGAGCGCAACUGACGCUUAAGCUCGAAGGUGCGGGUAUCAAACAGGAUUAGAUACCCUGGUAGUCCGCACAGUAAACGAUGGAUGCCCGCUGUUGGUACCUGGUAUCAGCGGCUAAGCGAAAGCAUUAAGCAUCCCACCUGGGGAGUACGCCGGCAACGGUG